GAUGAACGCUGGCGGCGUGCCUAAUACAUGCAAGUCGAGCGAACAGACGAGGAGCGUGCUCCUCUGACGUUAGCGGCGGACGGGUGAGUAACACGUGGAUAACCUACCUAUAAGACUGGGAUAACUUCGGGAAACCGGAGCUAAUACCGGAUAAUAUAUUGAACCGCAUGGUUCUAUAGUGAAAGACGGUUUUGCUGUCACUUAUAGAUGUAUCCGCGCCGCAUUAGCUAGUUGGUAAGGUAACGGCUUGCCAAGGCAACGAUGCGUAGCCGACCUGAGAGGGUGAUCGGCCACACUGGAACUGAGACACGGUCCAGACUCCUACGGGAGGCAGCAGUAGGGAAUCUUCCGCAAUGGGCGAAAGCUUGACGGAGCAACGCCGCGUGAGUGAUGAAGGUCUUCGGAUCGUAAAACUCUGUUAUUAGGGAAGAACAAAUGUGUAAGUAACUAUGCACGUCUUGACGGUACCUAAUCAGAAAGCCACGGCUAACUACGUG
RNAcentral lists this ribosomal RNA (497 nucleotides) under uncultured bacterium. RNAcentral describes it as "partial 16S ribosomal RNA". It matches the Rfam family "Bacterial small subunit ribosomal RNA", at positions 28 to 507 of the family's 1533-position model. The record is from RNAcentral.